GUGGGGAAUAUUGGACAAUGGGCGAAAGCCUGAUCCAGCCAUGCCGCGUGUGUGAAGAAGGUCUUCGGAUUGUAAAGCACUUUAAGUUGGGAGGAAGGGCAGUAAGUUAAUACCUUGCUGUUUUGACGUUACCGACAGAAUAAGCACCGGCUAACUUCGUGCCAGCAGCCGCGGUAAUACGAAGGGUGCAAGCGUUAAUCGGAAUUACUGGGCGUAAAGCGCGCGUAGGUGGUUUUGUAAGUUGGAGGUGAAAUCCCCGGGCUCAAUCUGGGAACUGCCUCCAAAACUGCAUGACUAGAGUACGGUAGAGGGUAGUGGAAUUUCCUGUGUAGCGGUGAAAUGCGUAGAUAUAGGAAGGAACACCAGUGGCGAAGGCGACUACCUGGACUGAUACUGACACUGAGGUGCGAAAGCGUGGGGAGCAAACAGGAUUAGAUACCCGUGUAGUCC
This 450-nucleotide ribosomal RNA is filed under the name uncultured bacterium. RNAcentral describes it as "bacterial SSU rRNA". It matches the Rfam family "Bacterial small subunit ribosomal RNA", at positions 354 to 796 of the family's 1533-position model. The record is from RNAcentral.